Molecule: long non-coding RNA, 1040 nt
Organism: Amborella trichopoda
Lineage: Eukaryota; Viridiplantae; Streptophyta; Magnoliopsida; Amborellales; Amborellaceae
Source: RefSeq, a predicted model, not a curated record
ACAAGUUGUUGUUGGCCAACCACGAGCCAAGCGAUGGAAACAUCCCAGCCCUAAGCACAGUGUUUUCUAUUGUCAAGUUAUCAGGAGCUCGAUCUCAUUGAUCCCAAAAAGCUAAAGACACCGAUACCUACAAUCAGAAAUGGCUCUCUCUCUACGACCACAAGACCACAAGAGGCCCUCUCUCUAACCACCACUGAAGGAUCUUCUAGUGAGACCGCGUCUCUCUCUCUCAUUUUUAUUUUUUUUUCUCUUGUUACAUGUGGGGAGCAGCAAGAUGCAAGCCCAUGCAAAUCACUCUUCUAUUUGACCAUGCAAAUAACCUACCAAUAGAUGAACGGACCUAUGAAGAAUGAAGAACUUUCGGCACCUGCAAAUAAAAAAAAGCUCGAACCCUCCCUCCAUCUCAAUCCCAAUUAAAGCCGAAAUCUUCUCUUCAUCUCAAUCCAUCCCAAUUAAAGCCGAAAUCUUCUCUCCAUCUCAAUCCAUCAAGAUUGCAACAAAUGAAUCUCCAAUUCAAAUCAGGUGCCGAUUGUUGCAAGCUUGUAGAACAUUGUCAACUAUGUUCAAGCAGUUAACAACAGCCGAAUUGAUUUUGAGAAUUAGUUACCAAGAAUUGGUGACUGAAGUAGUAUUACUUUUAAGUACUUAAGCAAGAGUACAUAUUAUGGGAAGCAAGCAAUCCACAAGCCUGCAAAGGCACAAAUCUGCGCAGUUUGGUUGCGCAUCUUCCUCGUCAUGGGGCUCUAUGGAAUUUCAUAAACAAAUACGAAUGGAAACUCAGAGGGAUAGUCAUAAUCGACAAAAAGGAGUGGAGCCCCAAAUUAGAUAUCCAUAUCAAAUCUGAUGGCUACACCAACUACUCUCUAGACAAUCUAAUUUAUAGCAUGCAAAUAAUCACACCAGUUGUAAAUGGUUUGAGAGUUCAUUGGAGUUGAAGUUCAUUGUAAUCGGAUUAUCCUGUACUUUACAUUUUCAAUACCAUUUUUGUACUCUGUUUCCUAGACUUUGAGAAACUGAUCAAGCGCCCAUAGUUUUGAUUA